Long non-coding RNA from Spodoptera frugiperda (fall armyworm), 892 nucleotides. RefSeq lists it as uncharacterized. The transcript has 4 exons. NCBI's taxonomy places the organism in Eukaryota, Metazoa, Arthropoda, Insecta, Lepidoptera, Noctuidae. The record is from RefSeq and is a predicted model, not a curated record.
AUUUUAUUAUGGUUGUUCUGCAGCGAUUUUUCAAUUGAUGUUAUAUCAUAAUUUGGGUAAGUAAAAUUUUAUUGCUAUAAUUUUUCUGAAUUUCGGAACGUAUUUAAUAAAUUCUGUUUUAUCUAUGGUAUGGAUAUUUACUUUGCAAUAAUUUUCAUGACAUGAGACUACAUUUUGCUGCAAUUACAAGCGAUUUGAUCUGGUUUUGUUAUAAUUUCGUUUAAAUUUUAUGCGAAUAGGUACCUACUAUGUCGGGGUCCUACGAGAAAGCUGGCGUAUCAACGCCACGAAUAUUCAGGCGCCCGUAAAUCGUCAAAACGAGUGAAAAGCGCAUUCAGUUGAAUACAUGUGGACGACAAGAUAGUAAACCUGUAAAUUAUAACUCAAGUUGUGGCCAGCUUCAUUGUAAACAAACUUUAGUUUUCAAGUUCAAGGACAAAUGCGUGUCAGUAACAUGGAUAAAUGCUACUUCAUAUGUUUUAUUUCAGUCAAUGAACCUUUGACUGUUAUAGAAGUUUGUCGAGAUAAUAUAAUGACUUUAUCAGCAAUAUGAUGCCAAAGUUAAUACACUUUUUUAAAGAAUGUAUUCUGCCAGAAAUAGUUUUGAGACAUGUUCAAAAAAAUGCGAAAUGUAUACCUAGGUAUGAAAGCAGCUGUGUAGCAGUAGUUUCCAGGCAAUAAUGAGGAAGGAUGAGUGAAAACAACACGACAAAUGUUUUUUUAUUGUACUAUUAUAGUAGUGUGUUUAGAAUCUACAUUAUCAAUGUUUACAGUCAUGUUUUUUUUGAUGUCAGAAAACUGAAAUGGUGUACUCGUCGUAAUGAACAUAAUGUUCAUAAUGUGAUAUGAAUACAUUGACCUAUUUUAAGGUUUCUGAAAAACAAAAAGGAAA